GGUCAGGAGCCAAAAAUUAGAGUGUGUCAGUCCACCAGUUCCUCUGCAGAGAAGCUCUCUUCUCGCCCAGUGAGUGUUCUGUGCUCUUGGAUUGAGGCCAGGAGGGGAAAUCCAUUUUACAUAAAGAAUGCACACAGCUCAAGUGCUCCGAGACUUUUUACCUACUAAAAUAACGUUGUGGACAAACGCCAGCCUGCUAGACACGUUCGGCGGAGAACAUUUGGCAUCAAAAACAAGUGCUGUGGUCAAGAAACAAACAAACAAGAGUUGAGGAUGAAAUCUUUGUACUCUCAUGGAACCCACUUCUAUACUGAUCUUAAUGGGAUUGAACCUGAAACAAAGGAAAACACUUACAA
Long non-coding RNA from Anolis carolinensis (green anole), 356 nucleotides. RefSeq lists it as uncharacterized. Lineage: Eukaryota; Metazoa; Chordata; Lepidosauria; Squamata; Anolidae. The transcript has 2 exons. The record is from RefSeq and is a predicted model, not a curated record.